AACGAACGCUGGCGGCGUGGAUAAGGCAUGCAAGUCGUACGGACCCAGCAUCCGGAUCCUUUCGGGGUGAAGGAUGUGAAGGUUAGUGGCAAAAGGGUGAGGAACGCGUGAGUAACUUGCCUGUGGUUCAAGGAUAACCCGCCGAAAGGCGGGCUAAUACUGGAUAACACUAUAAGGUUUUCGGAUUUUAUGGUUAAAGGUGGCCUCUGACUAAAGCUACCGACCGCAGAGAGGCUCGCGUCCUAUUAGCUUGUUGGUAGGGUAAUGGCCUACCAAGGCGACGAUGGGUAGCCGGUCUGAGAGGACGAUCGGCCACACUGGGACUGAGACACGGCCCAGACUCCUACGGGAGGCUGCAGUCGAGAAUAAUUCGCAAUGGGGGAAACCCUGACGAUGCGACGCCGCGUGAGGGAUGACGGCUUUCGGGUUGUAAACCUCUGUCACUCGGAAAGAAAGGUACGAGAGUGAAUAAUUCUUGUGCUUGACGGUACCGGGAGAGGAAGCUCCGGCUAACUCCGUG
This 520-nucleotide ribosomal RNA is filed under the name uncultured bacterium. RNAcentral describes it as "bacterial SSU rRNA". It matches the Rfam family "Bacterial small subunit ribosomal RNA", at positions 29 to 507 of the family's 1533-position model. The record is from RNAcentral.